Molecule: ribosomal RNA, 253 nt
Filed under: uncultured bacterium
Lineage: Bacteria
Description: partial 16S ribosomal RNA
Rfam family: Bacterial small subunit ribosomal RNA
Source: RNAcentral
UACGUAGGGACCGAGCGUUGUCCGGAUUCAUUGGGCGUAAAGAGCUCGUAGGCGGCCACUCAAGUCGAAUGUGAAACCUCGAGGCUCAACCUCGAGCCUGCAUUCGAUACUGGGCGGCUAGAGUCUGGUGGGGGGAUCUGGAAUUCCUGGUGUAGCGGUGAAAUGCGUAGAUAUCAAGAGGAACACCUGAGGUGAAGACGGGUUGCUGGGCCAACACUGACGCUGAGGCGCGAAAGCCAGGGGAGCAAACGGG